RNAcentral lists this long non-coding RNA (1100 nucleotides) under Apteryx rowi (Okarito brown kiwi). RNAcentral's name for it is "lncRNA (ENSARWG00000009186.1)". Lineage: Eukaryota; Metazoa; Chordata; Aves; Apterygiformes; Apterygidae. The record is from RNAcentral.
CGGGAGGAGCUAUGGGGCUGGGGGCGGGUCUAUGGGGCCGGGGGCGGGUCCACGGGGCAGCCGUGGGUCACGCGUCCCCCCCCGCCCCACGGCAGGCCCAGGCGGAGCUGUGGGAGCCGCUGUGGUCCCUGCUGAGCGACCUGCGCUUCCUGGGGGCCCACGUGCGCUGGGGGGCCCUGGAGGUCCUGCCCCACAGCCUGGGGCUGCUGCGCGAGGCGCAGCAGCGGGGGGCCGUGGCCGCCGUGGGGCUGGAGGAGGUGGCCGCCGUGGUGGAGGCCACCCUGGAGCUGGCCCAGCAGGAGCUCUAUGCCGUGGGGCAGCGGGAGGAAGCCAACGCGGGGCAGGAAGAAGCCGCCGUGGGGCAGGAGGAGCUCGCCGUGGGGCAGGAGGACCUCACCAUGGGGCAGGAGGACCUCACCAUGGGGCAGGAAGACCUUGCCAUGGGGCAGGAGGACCUCGCUGUGGGGCAGGAGGACCUCGCCGUGGGGUGGGAGGACCCCGCCGUGGGGCUGCUGGUGGGGCUGGCGCAGGAGGCAGCCAACGCCCCCCCUUCCUGCCCCCUACGCGCCCAAGUCCGGGACCUGCUGCCCCCCGGCCACCGGCUGCUGCUCCGCCCCCUGCCGGAUCCCGGCACCCGCCCCCCGGACAGGUGGGUGCUGCCCCAUAGCGGCCCCGGAGCACCCAUGGGUGUCUUCCCCGGACGCCUGGGCCCCUUUUCCCGGACACCUGGGCCCCUUCCCGGACACCUGGGCCCCUUUUCCCAGACGCCUGGGCCCCUUCCCGGACGCCUGGGCCCCUUUUUCCCGGACUCCUGGGCCCCUUCCCAGACUCCUGGGCCCUUUUCCCGGACGCCUGGGCCCCUUCUUUCCCCCCGGACGCCUGGGCCCCUUCCCAGACACCUGGGUCCCUUCCCGGACGCCUGGGCCCUUUUCCCGGACACCUGGGCCCCUUCCCGGACGCCUGGGCCCCUUUUCCCGGACACCCGGGCCCCUUUCCCAGACACCUGGGCCCCUUUUCCCGGACUCCUGGGCCCCUUCCCGGACACCUGGGCCCCUUUUCCCGGACGCCUGGGCCCUUUUUCCCGGACACCUGGGCCCCUU